Megaselia scalaris is the source of this 45-nucleotide non-coding RNA. The record is from Rfam. Lineage: Eukaryota; Metazoa; Arthropoda; Insecta; Diptera; Phoridae.
AAACAGGCUUAUUUAUAAGCCACUCAUAACGUCUAAGAGAUGUCU